Molecule: transfer RNA, 66 nt
Filed under: Heptamelus sp.
Lineage: Eukaryota; Metazoa; Arthropoda; Insecta; Hymenoptera; Tenthredinidae
Description: tRNA-Trp
Source: RNAcentral
AAGAUUUUAAGUUAAAAAAACUAAUAACCUUCAAAGUUAUAAAUAUAAUAAAAAUUUUAAAUCUUA